UUCUCCUCAGGAGCGCCGCUCAAACAAA
This 28-nucleotide small RNA is filed under the name Bombyx mori (domestic silkworm). RNAcentral's name for it is "ovarian small RNA-37498". The record is from RNAcentral. Lineage: Eukaryota; Metazoa; Arthropoda; Insecta; Lepidoptera; Bombycidae.